ACAGCCUGGAGAGGGAUGGGGACAUCAUGGCCUUGUCACACAGUGUCACAGGGACAGGGCUGUGAGGGAUGGGGACAGCCUGGAGAGGGAUGGGGACACGGGGACGUGGGGUGGGGACAACCUGUAGAGGUGCUGGGACAUGGGGGGACAUGGGGAACAUGGGAUGGGAGGGAUGGGGACACUGUGGAACAGGGCUAUGAGACAUGGGGGACAGCCUGGAGAGGGAUGGGGACAUGGGGACAGGGCAGUGACAGAGGGGACAGAGUGUGGAGAGGGAUGGGGACACCGUGGCCUUGUCACACAGUGUCACAGGGACAGGGCUGUGAGGGGUGGGGACAGCCUGGGGAGGGAUGGGGACAUGGGGACAUGGGGUGGGAGGGAUGGGGACACUGUGGAACAGGGCUUUGAACCAAGGGGACAGCCUGGAGAGGGGUGGGGACACCAUGGCCAUGGGGACACAAGGACAUGGCAGUGAGGGACAGGGACACCAUGGCCUUGUCACACAGUGCCAUGGGGACAAGGCCAGGAGGGGUAAAGAGCCUGGAGAGGGACAGGGACACAGGGACAGGGGGAUGGGGACAUUUUGGGAUGGGGACAUUGGGAACAGGGACAUUUGAGAUGGGGACAUUGGGGACAGGGACAUUUUGGAAUGGGGACAGUUCGGCCGUGUCACUCAUCGUUCCUCAAGGGAUGGUGGCCUUUGGGGACAUUGGAGCUGCUCUGUGUCCCUUGUUCUUGUCCCCAAGGUGACCUUUGGGGACAUUGGAGCUGCUCUGUGUCCCUCCCCUGUGUUUGUGUCCCCAUGGUGGCCCUUGGGGACAUCAGAGAUCCUUUGUGUCCCCCAGCCCUGUUCCUGUCCCCGAGGUGGCCCUUGGGGACACUGGUGUCACCAUAAACCGCCUUUGUCACUCC
Molecule: long non-coding RNA, 912 nt
Organism: Zonotrichia leucophrys gambelii
Lineage: Eukaryota; Metazoa; Chordata; Aves; Passeriformes; Passerellidae
Exons: 2
Source: RefSeq, a predicted model, not a curated record